UGGGGAGAAAAUGAAAAAUUCUGAAAUGUCUGCAAGGCUGGAGAGCAGUUUUCCACUGUGCUCUCCUCAGAUGAGAUUGCAGAAAUUCUUCUGUUUUCUUCUUCCUCCCUGGCUCUGCCACCAGGCAAUUCUGUUCACACUGUUCUCCAAGACAAAAUCUGAGCCAGGCUGAGAUUUGUGCUGAUGUCUUCUUGGACCAGUUCCCACCGACUGAAUCUGUGGAAGGCACCAUCCUCUACUGGUCCCUGCUGUGGGCAUUGGCAGGUGUCCCAAUGGAGUUUCCAUGGAAGAUCCUUAUCAUGAGAGGCUGGUGAUGACAUGGGUUUUGUCAAAAGUGCUUACAAGGAUUGUGCUGUAAAGUUGCUGUUUUGUGGCCAAAACAUGCCCUUGCAAUUAUCCACCAGCAAUAGCUCCUGGCAUCUGUGGGAGAACACAGCCUUGC
Molecule: non-coding RNA, 442 nt
Organism: Cyanistes caeruleus (blue tit)
Lineage: Eukaryota; Metazoa; Chordata; Aves; Passeriformes; Paridae
Source: RefSeq, a predicted model, not a curated record